This 442-nucleotide ribosomal RNA is filed under the name uncultured bacterium. RNAcentral's name for it is "partial 16S ribosomal RNA". It matches the Rfam family "Bacterial small subunit ribosomal RNA", at positions 338 to 795 of the family's 1533-position model. The record is from RNAcentral.
CCUACGGGUGGCAGCAGUGGGGAAUAUUGGGCAAUGGGCGCAAGCCUGACCCAGCGACGCCGCGUGAGAGAAGACGGUCUUCGGAUUGUAAACCUCUUUCAGCAGGGAAGACAAAAGGACGGUACCUGCAGAAGAAGCCACGGCUAACUACGUGCCCGCAGCCGCGGUCAUACGGAGGUGGCGAGCGGUAACCGGAAUGACUGGGUGUAAAGGGUGUGUAGGUGGGGCUGGAAGUCAGAUGUGAAAAUUAUGGGCUCAACCCAUAAACUGCGUCUGACACUGGAGGUCUUGAGUGUGGGAGAGGUAGACGGAAUUCCCGGUGUAGCGGUGAAAUGCGUAGAUAUCGGGAAGAACACCAGUGGCGAAGGCGGUUUACUGGACCACAACUGACGCUGAGGCACGAAAGCGUGGGGAGCAAACAGGAUUAGAUACCCGGGUAGUC